GUCGAAUUGCACAUCUAAUGCCAUACUCAGGACAUUCCUGGACAGUGCGGGGGUGUCUGCUAGGCCAGCCCUUCCCAGAAAAGGGCUUACAGGAUUAAUUAUUCUAGACUGUGUCUUCCUCAGGAGGAAAAACCUAUGUACUUACUUCCUUAUGGUGUCUGAGAAAUGAAAUAACCUCUAAAAGGAACUUUGCACUUUUUACUGCACUGCUGCAGAGAGAACAUUGAUUGAAAGGCACAGGCAGGUUCGGGAAGAAAUGCACUCGCUGGAGGCCGGGUCAGGUUUUAUCUUUCCAAACCCGGUGUGCAGGAGCCUUGGUGCGAGACAGACCUGCAUGUGAACAGUACCAGGGAUGGAACUCAGGACCUUGCACUUGUACGGCAGGCGUUGGUGCCACUGAGCUUAAAUUCCCG
Molecule: long non-coding RNA, 413 nt
Filed under: Heterocephalus glaber (naked mole-rat)
Lineage: Eukaryota; Metazoa; Chordata; Mammalia; Rodentia; Bathyergidae
Description: lncRNA (ENSHGLG00000040408.1)
Source: RNAcentral